This 495-nucleotide ribosomal RNA is filed under the name uncultured bacterium. RNAcentral's name for it is "partial 16S ribosomal RNA". It matches the Rfam family "Bacterial small subunit ribosomal RNA", at positions 355 to 861 of the family's 1533-position model. The record is from RNAcentral.
UGGGGAAUAUUGCACAAUGGGCGAAAGCCUGAUGCAGCAACGCCGCGUGAGUGAUGAAGGUCUUCGGAUUGUAAAGCUCUGUCUUUUGGGACGAUAAUGACGGUACCAAAGGAGGAAGCCACGGCUAACUACGUGCCAGCAGCCGCGGUAAUACGUAGGUGGCGAGCGUUGUCCGGAUUUACUGGGCGUAAAGGGUGCGUAGGCGGAUGUUUAAGUGAGAUGUGAAAUACCCGGGCUUAACUUGGGUGCUGCAUUUCAAACUGGAUAUCUAGAGUGCAGGAGAGGAGAAUGGAAUUCCUAGUGUAGCGGUGAAAAUGCNUAGAGAUUAGGAAGAACACCAGUGGCGAAGGCGAUUCUCUGGACUGUAACUGACGCUGAGGCACGAAAAGCGUGGGUAGCAAACAGGAUUAGAUACCCUGGUAGUCCACGCCGUAAAACGAUGAGUACUAGGUGUAGGAGGUAUCGACCCCCUUCUGUGCCGCAGUAAAACACAUC